GACGAACGCUGGCGGCGUGCUUAACACAUGCAAGUCGAACGGAAAGGCCCUGCUUUUGUGGGGUGCUCGAGUGGCGAACGGGUGAGUAACACGUGAGUAACCUGCCCUUGACUUUGGGAUAACUUCAGGAAACUGGGGCUAAUACCGGAUAGGAGCUCCUGCUGCAUGGUGGGGGUUGGAAAGUUUCGGCGGUUGGGGAUGGACUCGCGGCUUAUCAGCUUGUUGGUGGGGUAGUGGCUUACCAAGGCUUUGACGGGUAGCCGGCCUGAGAGGGUGACCGGGCAAAAUGGGAAUGAGGAUAGGGCCAAAAUUCUAAGGGAAGCAGGAGGGGGGAAAAAUGAAACAAGGGCGGAAGGCCGAAGGAGGAAAGGCGGGGGAGGGAUGAAGGACUUCGGGUUGUAAACCGCUUUCGCCUGUGACGAAGCGUGAGUGACGGUAAUGGGUAAAGAAGCACCGGCUAACUACGUG
This 468-nucleotide ribosomal RNA is filed under the name uncultured bacterium. Its description in RNAcentral is "partial 16S ribosomal RNA". It matches the Rfam family "Bacterial small subunit ribosomal RNA", at positions 28 to 507 of the family's 1533-position model. The record is from RNAcentral.